RNAcentral lists this ribosomal RNA (440 nucleotides) under uncultured bacterium. RNAcentral's name for it is "partial 16S ribosomal RNA". It matches the Rfam family "Bacterial small subunit ribosomal RNA", at positions 338 to 795 of the family's 1533-position model. The record is from RNAcentral.
CCUACGGGAGGCAGCAGUGGGGAAUAUUGCACAAUGGGGGAAACCCUGAUGCAGCGACGCCGCGUGAGCGAAGAAGUAUCUCGGUAUGUAAAGCUCUAUCAGCAGGGAAGAAAAUGACAGUACCUGACUAAGAAGCCCCGGCUAACUACGUGCCAGCAGCCGCGGUAAUACGUAGGGGGCAAGCGUUAUCCGGAUUUACUGGGCGUAAAGGGAGCGUAGGCGGCGCGGCAAGUCUGAAGUGAAAUGCCGGGGCUUAACCCCGGGACUGCAUUGGAAACUGUGGAGCUAGAGUGCAGGAGAGGUAAGCGGAAUUCCUAGUGUAGCGGUGAAAUGCGUAGAUAUUAGGAGGAACACCAGUGGCGAAGGCGGCUUACUGGACGGUAACUGACGUUGAGGCUCGAAAGCGUGGGGAGCAAACAGGAUUAGAUACCCGUGUAGUC